AUGUAUUUGUGGACAGUACAUCUGGCAAGUCAUCGAUAUCCAAAAUGUAAAUGAAACUCAAAUAGCAGUAAGAAAACAGCCCAAUUUGAAAAGAGACAAAGGAUCUGAAUGGACAUUUCUCAAAGGAAGACAUGCAAAAUACCAGACUGUCUGGUAUUCAGCGGGGGCUCAGUCAAUGUGAAAGAAAUGAAUUCUCCACACCCCACAGACGCGGACGCUGGGGCUCAGAGAGGUAGAGAGACUUGUCCACGGUGGAAAGGCAAACCCUGA
This 270-nucleotide long non-coding RNA is filed under the name Callithrix jacchus (white-tufted-ear marmoset). Its description in RNAcentral is "lncRNA (ENSCJAG00000069066.2)". The record is from RNAcentral. Lineage: Eukaryota; Metazoa; Chordata; Mammalia; Primates; Cebidae.